RNAcentral lists this ribosomal RNA (588 nucleotides) under Tremelloscypha gelatinosa. Its description in RNAcentral is "eukaryotic LSU rRNA". It matches the Rfam family "Eukaryotic large subunit ribosomal RNA", at positions 56 to 626 of the family's 3401-position model. Lineage: Eukaryota; Fungi; Basidiomycota; Agaricomycetes; Sebacinales; Sebacinaceae. The record is from RNAcentral.
GAAAAGAAACUAACAAGGAUUCCCUUAGUAACGGCGAGUGAAGAGGGAAGAGCUCAAAUUUUGAAUCUGGCGCCUUUGGUGUCCGAGUUGUAAUCUAGAGAAGUGUUUUCCGUGACGGACCGUGCACAAGUCUCCUGGAAUGGAGCUGUCAUAGAGGGUGAGAAUCCCGUACAUGGCACGGACUCCCGUUACUCUGCGAUACACUCUCGACGAGUCGAGUUGUUUGGGAAUGCAGCUCUAAUUGGGUGGUAAAUGCCAUCUAAAGCUAAAUAUCGGCGAGAGACCGAUAGCGAACAAGUACCGUGAGGGAAAGAUGAAAAGCACUUUGGAAAGAGAGUGAAACAGUACGUGAAAUUGUUGAAAGGGAAACGCUUGAAGUCAGUCGCGCCCUUCAGGAUUCAGCCUUGCUUCUGCUUGGUUUACUUCCUGUUCGGUGGGUCAACGUCAGUUUCGAUCGGAGGAGAAAGGCUUGGGGAAGGUGGCAGCACAAGUGCUGUGUUAUAGCCCCGUGUUGUAUACUUCGAUUGGGACUGAGGACCGCAGCGCGCCUUUACGGCCGGGGCUUGCCCACGUACGCSCUUAGGAUGU